Molecule: ribosomal RNA, 253 nt
Filed under: uncultured bacterium
Lineage: Bacteria
Description: partial 16S ribosomal RNA
Rfam family: Bacterial small subunit ribosomal RNA
Source: RNAcentral
UACGAGGGGGGCAAGCGUUGUUCGGAAUUAUUGGGCGUAAAGGGCGCGUAGGCGGUGCGGUAAGUCACCUGUGAAAACUCUGGGCUCAACUCAGAGCCUGCAGGCGAAACUGCCGUGCUUGAGUGUGGGAGAGGUGCGUGGAAUUCCCGGUGUAGCGGUGAAAUGCGCAGAUAUCAGGAGGAACACCGGUGGCGAAGGCGGGUCUCUGGGCCGUAACUGACGCUGAGGAGCGAAAGCAUGGGGAGCGAACAGG